RNAcentral lists this ribosomal RNA (322 nucleotides) under uncultured eukaryote. RNAcentral describes it as "partial 18S ribosomal RNA". It matches the Rfam family "Eukaryotic small subunit ribosomal RNA", at positions 1470 to 1796 of the family's 1831-position model. The record is from RNAcentral.
CCCUUAGAUGUUCUGGGCUGCACGCGCGCUACACUGAUGCGUUCAACAAGUUUCCUUGGCCGAGAGGCCUGGGCAAUCUUCUUAAUAUGUAUCGUGAUAGGGAUAGAUUAUUGCAAUUAUUAAUCUUGAACGAGGAACUCCUAGUAAACGCAGAUCAUCAAUCUGCAUUGAUUACGUCCCUGCCCUUUGUACACACCGCCCGUCGCACCUACCGAUUGGAUGUUCCGGUGAAGCCUCGGGAUGAGGACUGGUGCCUUUAUUGGCAUGAGUUGUUCAGAACUUGUCUAAACCUUAUCAUCUAGAGGAAGGUGAAGUCGUAACA